UUCUCAUUCUUGGCCUGUUCUUGGUUUUGGGAGCACCGCUUCAAUUCCUCAUUAUUCUUCUUAGCUUUCUUUGGCCAGUGGCGGUCAGCAAUUUUCUCUCAUUCUCGGUCAGCAAUUUUCUCUUUUGGUUAUACUGAGUUGUGCCCUGUUCUCUCACCAUCGAAGUCACUGAUACAAUCGCUUUGUUUUCUCUAUCUCUCCGUCUCUGCUUCACCCUACACAUCGCCGCCCUUUCAAUCACCUACUAAGAGAUGACGCAUUCCAGUUGAACACUCUCAAGGCGCGCAUGAAAUAAUCAACCGGAUAGCUUUGCUUUUUCUUGCUGCUCUCUCUAAGUUGCUCUACACGCUUUUCCAAACCCUCUGCCAAUCCUCUAUUAUGAGAGCUGCUUGAAAGUGGGUAAAAAUAUUUUUCUGGCACCAGUAUCUUCGAUGCUUCCAAGUGUGGUGUUAUUCAGCUCAAUAGUGGCUUCGCUCAAACUCCUCAGAUGAGGUCUUCAUGGAAAAAUCUUUCUCAAUACAAAAGGGGAUAUAGCAUAUAUAGUUUGAGGCAGCUUGGGCUCUCACAAACAUUGCUUCCGGGACAUCUAUGCACACUAAGGUUGUAAUAGACAAUGGUGCUCUUCCCAUAUUCGCACAGCUUCUUAGUUCUCCCAGCGAUGAUGCCCGUGAACAGGCUGUAUGGGCUCCGUGAAAUGUGGUUGGUGAUUCCCCAAAAUGCCGUGAUUUUGUUCCUGGUCAUGGAGCUCUAGGUCCUUUGGUGGCUUAGCUAAAUGAGCAUGCAAACUAUCAUUGUUGCGAAAUGCCACGUGGACACUAUCUAAUUUCUGCAGAGGCAAGUUUUAGCCAUAUUUUGACAAGAGAGAAUGCAAAAGUUUAGUUGGAUUACAUACUCAACGUCACCAAAGGCUCGUGUAAUUACGCUGGAUGGAUUGAGAAAAAUUCUCAGGAGUCAUUAGCGUUUAUUUUGAACCUAAAUGAAUUGGUUGGCUAUACUAUUAUAAUUGCUGUGUACUUUUGCUUUAGUUUUGUGUACAAGAUUAAUAUAGUAUAUGCUAGCCCACUAUAGCUGUUAUGUAUAUAUAUUUUUUCAGAAACGGUAGGAAUUGUAUUAAUGAUUUAAAGCUUUA
This is a long non-coding RNA of Coffea eugenioides, 1129 nucleotides long. RefSeq lists it as uncharacterized. The transcript is spliced from 6 exons. NCBI's taxonomy places the organism in Eukaryota, Viridiplantae, Streptophyta, Magnoliopsida, Gentianales, Rubiaceae. The record is from RefSeq and is a predicted model, not a curated record.